This 500-nucleotide ribosomal RNA is filed under the name uncultured bacterium. RNAcentral's name for it is "partial 16S ribosomal RNA". It matches the Rfam family "Bacterial small subunit ribosomal RNA", at positions 29 to 523 of the family's 1533-position model. The record is from RNAcentral.
AUUGAACGCUGGCGGCAUGCCUUACACAUGCAAGUCGAGCGGCAGCGCGGGGGCAACCCUGGCGGCGAGCGGCGAACGGGUGAGUAAUACAUCGGAACGUGUCCAGUAGCGGGGGAUAACCUGUCGAAAGAUAGGCUAAUACCGCAUACGAUCUACGGAUGAAAGCGGGGGACCGCAAGGCCUCGCACUGUUGGAGCGGCCGAUGUCGGAUUAGCUAGUUGGCGGGGUAAAAGCCCACCAAGGCGACGAUCCGUAGCUGGUCUGAGAGGACGACCAGCCACACUGGAACUGAGACACGGUCCAGACUCCUACGGGAGGCAGCAGUGGGGAAUUUUGGACAAUGGGGGCAACCCUGAUCCAGCCAUGCCGCGUGAGUGAAGAAGGCCUUCGGGUUGUAAAGCUCUUUCGGCGGGGACGAAACGGUUCGUGACAACACCACGGACUAAUGACGGUACUCGCAGAAGAAGCACCGGCUAACUACGUGCCAGCCGCCGCCGUAA